UAUCUCUGCAUCCACAUAUUUGAUGGAUUUGCUUGUUUUUGUGUUUAUUAUCCCAGGGGAAUUUCUUCAGCAGUAACUAAAGUCAAUGAAGAAAGUAAAGGACUUGCAAAAGUUUCCUAGCUGAUUCUGCCAACUGAAAUAGUUUUAUUAUGCUCUUCUUGUGGACAGAAUGAGUCUCAAAACUGAAAUCAAUUCAAUAAUUGUCCAAAUCCAUCUGAGGCCCUGUGUCUGUAUAAACUGAUUUCCAUGGCUGCUCCUCCAUGUAAGACUUUGCCAUUCUCUGCCUCCAAAAGGACUUGGAUCUAGGAUGACCAUAGCAUCAGGCAUCUUUUGACUAUGGAGAUAAUCAGCCAGUGCCUCUGACCAAGCCAUGUUUUAAUCCAAGAGUAACUACCCUUGGAGAAUAUCGCCUGUUUCCGGGAGUAAGAAGAAAAUGGUCUGCACCAUGGCAACAUGUAUUACUACUGGCUGCCCAGUGGAGCAAAAGGAACUCUGUUCGGGGCUAGAUUUCACGUCAGACAGAAAGGUUAUCGUGGAGACACAAAAAAACAUAUGUUCUUGGGCGUAUAGGUUUGAACCAUAUUUAAAUCAUAUGAGAUGAUAACAUUGAGUAGAACUGGUUGAGUAUCACACAUAAACAUUCAAAGUGGAUUAAUUUUAUUUUGCAUUACGUUCCAUUUGGAUUCUCUUAAACAAAAAGCCAUCAUUUUUUCUACAACCACCAAUUUUAUAGCAGAUGUUAUACAUUCUUUGAAAGCAAAGACUGUGACAUUUAUCUUUGUAUUUCUUUCAGCACCUAUGUAAAGAUUUCUAAUAAAUGCUUGAUGGAUAUAUUAAUGGUUUCUUUA
This 848-nucleotide long non-coding RNA is filed under the name Bos indicus x Bos taurus (hybrid cattle). RNAcentral describes it as "lncRNA (ENSBIXG00005009659.1)". Lineage: Eukaryota; Metazoa; Chordata; Mammalia; Artiodactyla; Bovidae. The record is from RNAcentral.